CAAGAHCUUGCGCUUUUGGAGCGGCCGAUGUCUGAUUAGCUAGUWGGUGGGGUAAUGGCCUACCAAAGCGUCGAUCAGUAGCUGGUCUGABAGGACGGCCAGCCACACUGGGACUGASACACGGCCCAGACUCCUACGGGAGGCAGCAGURGGGAAUUUUGGACAAUGGGCGCAAGCBNGAUCCAGCCAUGCCGCGUGAGUAAAGAAGGCCUUCGGGUUKUAAAGCUCUUUCAGCCGGGAAGAAAAGCUUKCGAUUAAUAAUCGCAAUUYAUGACGGUACCGGAAGAAGAAGCACCGGCUAACUACGUGCCAGCAGCCGCGGUAAUACGUAGGGUGCGAGCSUUAAUCGGAAUUACUGGGCGUAAAGGGUKCGCAGGCGGUUUUGUAAGUCAGAUGUUAAAUCCCCGGGCUUAACCUGGGAACU
This 424-nucleotide ribosomal RNA is filed under the name uncultured bacterium. RNAcentral describes it as "partial 16S ribosomal RNA". It matches the Rfam family "Bacterial small subunit ribosomal RNA", at positions 207 to 622 of the family's 1533-position model. The record is from RNAcentral.